UACGUAGGGUGCAAGCGUUGUCCGGAAUUAUUGGGCGUAAAGAGCGUGUAGGCGGUUAUACAGGUCCGCUGUGAAAACUGGAGGCUUAACCUCCAGACGUCGGUGGAAACCGUAUAACUAGAGUCCGGAAGAGGAGAGUGGAAUUCCUGGUGUAGCGGUGAAAUGCGCAGAUAUCAGGAAGAACACCCGUGGCGAAGGCGGCUCUCUGGGACGGUACUGACGCUGAGACGCGAAAGCGUGGGGAGCGAACAGG
RNAcentral lists this ribosomal RNA (253 nucleotides) under uncultured bacterium. Its description in RNAcentral is "partial 16S ribosomal RNA". It matches the Rfam family "Bacterial small subunit ribosomal RNA", at positions 524 to 776 of the family's 1533-position model. The record is from RNAcentral.